GACGAACGCUGGCGGCGUGCUUAACGCAUGCAAGUCGAACGGAAAGGCCCUGCUUUUGUGGGGUGCUCGAGUGGCGAACGGGUGAGUAACACGUGAGUAACCUGCCCUUGACUUUGGGAUAACUUCAGGAAACUGGGGCUAAUACCGGAUAGGAGCUCCUGCUGCAUGGUGGGGGUUGGAAAGUUUCGGCGGUUGGGGAUGGACUCGCGGCUUAUCAGCUUGUUGGUGGGGUAGUGGCUUACCAAGGCUUUGACGGGUAGCUGGCCUGAGAGGGUGACCGGCCACAUUGGUCCUGCGUUACGGCCGAGCCUCCUACGGGAGGCAGCAGUGGUGAAUAUUGCACAAUGGGCGGAAGCCUGAUGCAGCAACGCCGCGUGCGGGAUGACGGCCUUCGGGUUGUAAACCGCUUUCGCCUGUGACGAAGCGUGAGUGACGGUAAUGGGUAAAGAAGCACCGGCUAACUACGUG
Molecule: ribosomal RNA, 468 nt
Filed under: uncultured bacterium
Lineage: Bacteria
Description: partial 16S ribosomal RNA
Rfam family: Bacterial small subunit ribosomal RNA
Source: RNAcentral